RNAcentral lists this ribosomal RNA (1007 nucleotides) under human gut metagenome. RNAcentral's name for it is "bacterial LSU rRNA". It matches the Rfam family "Bacterial large subunit ribosomal RNA", at positions 1919 to 2925 of the family's 2925-position model. The record is from RNAcentral.
CCCAGUAAACGGCGGCCGUAACUAUAACGGUCCUAAGGUAGCGAAAUUCCUUGUCAGGUAAGUUCUGACCCGCACGAAAGGCGUAACGAUUUGGGCGCUGUCUCAGCUGUAGACUCGGUGAAGUCUUAGUACCUGUGAAGAUGCAGGUUACCCGCGACUAGACGGAAAGACCCCAUGGAGCUUUACUGUAGCUUGAUAUUGGACUUUGAUGCAAGAUGUACAGGAUAGGUAGGAGACUGAGAGACAUGCACGCCAGUGUGUGAGGAGUCAAUGUUGGGAUACUACUCUUCUUGUAUUGGAGUUCUAACCGGAUGCCAUGGAACUGGCAACGGGACAGUGUCAGGUGGGCAGUUUGACUGGGGCGGUCGCCUCCCAAAGAGUAACGGAGGCGCCCAAAGAUACCCUCAGCUUGGAUGGAAAUCAAGCGCAGAGUGCAAAGGCAUAAGGGUGUUUGACUGCGAGACCUACAAGUCGAGCAGGGACGAAAGUCGGGCUUAGUGAUCCGGCGGUGCUGAAUGGAAAGGCCGUCGCUCAACGGAUAAAAGCUACCCUGGGGAUAACAGGCUGAUCUCCCCCAAGAGUUCACAUCGACGGGGAGGUUUGGCACCUCGAUGUCGGCUCAUCGCAUCCUGGAGCUGAAGUCGGUUCCAAGGGUUGGGCUGUUCGCCCAUUAAAGCGGUACGCGAGCUGGGUUCAGAACGUCGUGAGACAGUUCGGUCCCUAUCUGUCGUGGGCGCAGGAAGUUUGAGAAGAUCUGUCCUCAGUACGAGAGGACCGGGAUGGACAUAUCAAUGGUGCACCAGUUGUCACGCCAGUGGCACAGCUGGGUAGCUAAAUAUGGAAGGGAUAAACGCUGAAGGCAUCUAAGUGUGAAACCCACUUCAAGAUGAGACUUCCCAUUACGCAAGUAAGUAAGACCCCUUAAAGACGAUAAGGUUGAUAGGUCAGGAGUGUAAGCAUGGCGACAUGUUCAGCGGACUGAUACUAAUAGGUCGAGGACUUAACCU